GAAAGAAGUAAACUCUGUAAUUGGAGCACCUCUAAAUGAAAACUGUAUAUAUCAUACAGCAAAGUGGGGAAGAAGCAAUGUAAUUCACAAGUGUAUAGGUUUUCAUCGAUAUGAAUUCACAACUUACUGUCUAUCUAUCUGCUGAAUUAACUGGAACAAUAGCAGGCUCCCCUGGUAAAGGCUCGUCGAGAUGGAGUUCGGCGAAGCUAUUGAUGAUCCCUGUUCUUUCACGGUAUAUACUCUCCUUUUU
RNAcentral lists this unclassified non-coding RNA (250 nucleotides) under Hevea brasiliensis (rubber tree). Lineage: Eukaryota; Viridiplantae; Streptophyta; Magnoliopsida; Malpighiales; Euphorbiaceae. The record is from RNAcentral.